UGGUGGAGUGAUUUGUCUGGUUAAUUCCGAUAACGAACGAGACCUCAGCUUGUUAAAUAGUGUGCUGAAGCUUCUGUAUGGGUGAAGUGGUGGUCAUCCUCGUCGCUGGGCCUUCUGGGUCUUGGUCGGCGAGGGUACUGCCAUGGAUCCUUGAAUGCUUGAGCAUAUCUUCUUAAAGGGACACUUGGCGUUUAGCCAGGGAAGUGAGGCAAUAACA
This 217-nucleotide ribosomal RNA is filed under the name uncultured eukaryote. RNAcentral describes it as "partial 18S ribosomal RNA". It matches the Rfam family "Eukaryotic small subunit ribosomal RNA", at positions 1299 to 1458 of the family's 1831-position model. The record is from RNAcentral.